AGUGAACGCUGGCGGUAGGCCUAACACAUGCAAGUCGAACGGCAGCACAGUAAGAGCUUGCUCUUACGGGUGGCGAGUGGCGGACGGGUGAGGAAUACAUCGGAAUCUACUUUUUCGUGGGGGAUAACGUAGGGAAACUUACGCUAAUACCGCAUACGACCUACGGGUGAAAGCAGGGGAUCUUCGGACCUUGCGGGAUGGAAUGAGCCGAUGUCGGAUUAGCUAGUUGGCGGGGUAAAGGCCCACAAAGGCGACGAUCCGUAGCUGGUCUGAGAGGAUGAUCAGCCACACUGGAACUGAGACACGGUCCAGACUCCUACGGGAGGCAGCAGUGGGGAAUAUUGGACAAUGGGCGCAAGCCUGAUCCAGCCAUACCGCGUGGGUGAAGAAGGCCUUCGGGUUGUAAAGCCCUUUUGUUGGGAAAGAAAAGCAGCAGGUUAAUACCCCGCUGUUCUGACGGUACCCAAAGAAUAAGCACCGGCUAACUUCGUG
This 492-nucleotide ribosomal RNA is filed under the name uncultured bacterium. RNAcentral's name for it is "partial 16S ribosomal RNA". It matches the Rfam family "Bacterial small subunit ribosomal RNA", at positions 29 to 507 of the family's 1533-position model. The record is from RNAcentral.